RNAcentral lists this ribosomal RNA (739 nucleotides) under uncultured bacterium. RNAcentral describes it as "bacterial SSU rRNA". It matches the Rfam family "Bacterial small subunit ribosomal RNA", at positions 8 to 796 of the family's 1533-position model. The record is from RNAcentral.
AGAGUUUGAUCCUGGCUCAGAACGAACGCUGGCGGCAGGCCUAACACAUGCAAGUCGAACGCGACUUCGGUCGAGUGGCGCACGGGUGAGUAACGCGUGGGAACCUGCCCUGUGGUACGGAAUAACAUCGGGAAACUGAUGCUAAUACCGUAUAUCUCCUGAGGGAGAAAGAUUUAUCGCCAUAGGACGGGCCCGCGUAGGAUUAGCUAGUUGGUGAGGUAACGGCUCACCAAGGCGACGAUCCUUAGCUGGUCUGAGAGGAUGAUCAGCCACACUGGGACUGAGACACGGCCCAGACUCCUACGGGAGGCAGCAGUGGGGAAUAUUGGACAAUGGGGGAAACCCUGAUCCAGCCAUGCCGCGUGAGUGAUGAAGGCCUUCGGGUUGUAAAGCUCUUUCGCACGCGACGAUGAUGACGGUAGCGUGAGAAGAAGCCCCGGCUAACUUCGUGCCAGCAGCCGCGGUAAUACGAAGGGGGCAAGCGUUGUUCGGAAUUACUGGGCGUAAAGGGCGCGUAGGCGGUGCGUUAAGUUAGGCGUGAAAGCCCUGGGCUCAACCCGGGAACUGCGCUUGAUACUGGCGCGCUUGAAUCCAGGAGAGGUUGGUGGAAUUCCCAGUGUAGAGGUGAAAUUCGUAGAGAUUGGGAAGAACACCGGUGGCGAAGGCGGCCNCUGGACUGGUAUUGACGCUGAGGCGCGAAAGCGUGGGGAGCAAACAGGAUUAGAUACCCUAGUAGUCC